Molecule: ribosomal RNA, 253 nt
Filed under: uncultured bacterium
Lineage: Bacteria
Description: partial 16S ribosomal RNA
Rfam family: Bacterial small subunit ribosomal RNA
Source: RNAcentral
UACGAAGGGGGCUAGCGUUGCUCGGAAUCACUGGGCGUAAAGCGCACGUAGGCGGAUUGUUAAGUCAGGGGUGAAAUCCUGGAGCUCAACUCCAGAACUGCCUUUGAUACUGGCGAUCUUGAGUCCGGGAGAGGUGAGUGGAACUGCGAGUGUAGAGGUGAAAUUCGUAGAUAUUCGCAAGAACACCAGUGGCGAAGGCGGCUCACUGGCCCGGUACUGACGCUGAGGUGCGAGAGCGUGGGGAGCAAACAGG